Molecule: long non-coding RNA, 491 nt
Filed under: Olea europaea subsp. europaea
Lineage: Eukaryota; Viridiplantae; Streptophyta; Magnoliopsida; Lamiales; Oleaceae
Source: RNAcentral
CUUUGCCUCUGCUAACACCCUAUUGAACCGACAACCAAACGCACUUUAGCAUCCAAGAUUGCAUUUUUCUUUUUUUUUUUUUUUGUCCCAAAAUCCCAGAAAAACCCCCACAAUUUUGAAUCAUUCCUUCGGCUAAUUGCAAAGCAAAGAAUCCCAGAAAGGAAUUUCAUCGAACACGCAACACUUCGCGCGCAGAAACUCACUGUAAUAAUCACGAUUUGAUGACCCAACAAUGAAAUGGAUGGAAUUGAACUCACACUCUCCACCGUUUUCCUCUCUUCCACCAACCCAAGAUAUCUGAGUCAGAUUCACGGCCACCAAACGCUGUCGUUUCCAUUUCAGCUACCAUGAUCACCACCCUUCUUAAACCCCUUUUUAAGUCUCAGCUCCGGAUUAGGUUUACGCUUUCCUUCCCUCUUUCCCAUGGACGCUGCCAGCUCUCGUCCCGCUGUAGUAAUCGAUAAUGGCACUGGGUACUUAUUUAAUUUUUU